Molecule: ribosomal RNA, 315 nt
Filed under: uncultured bacterium
Lineage: Bacteria
Description: bacterial SSU rRNA
Rfam family: Bacterial small subunit ribosomal RNA
Source: RNAcentral
GAUGAACGCUGGCGGCAUGCCUAAUACAUGCAAGUCGAACGGACUAAAGAGAAAAGCUUGCUUUUUUUGGAAGUCAGUGGCGAACGGGUGAGUAACACGUAGGUAACCUGCCCAUGUGCCCGGGAUAAUUUCUGGAAACAGCUGCUAAUACCGCAUAAUGCAACGGAAUCGCAUGACUCUGUUGCCAAAGAUUUAUCGCUCUGAGAUGGCCUCGCGUCUGAUUAGCUAGUUGGCGGGGUAACGGCCCACCAAGGCGACGAUCAGUAGCCGGACUGAGAGGUUGGCCGGCCACAUUGGGACUGAGACACGGCCCAG